CCUACGGGCGGCAGCAGUGGGGAAUAUUGCGCAAUGGGCGAAAGCCUGACGCCGCGACGCCGCGUGAGGGAUGAAGGUCUUCGGAUCGUAAACCUCUGUCAGCAGGGAAGAACGGUCACUGUGCUAAUCAGCAGUGAAUUGACGGUACCUGCAAAGGAAGCACCGGCUAACUCCGUGCCAGCCGCCGCGGUAAGACGGAGGGUGCGAGCGUUAAUCGGAAUUACUGGGCGUAAAGCGCUCGUAGGCGGUAUGUCAAGUCAAGGGUGAAAUCCCCGCGCUCAACGUGGGAACUGCCUUUGAAACUGGCAAACUGGAGUGUGUGAGAGGAUAGUGGAAUUCCAGGUGUAGGAGUGAAAUCCGUAGAUAUCUGGAGGAACAUCAGUGGCGAAGGCGACUAUCUGGCACAUAACUGACGCUGAGGAGCGAAAGCGUGGGUAGCAAACAGGAUUAGAUACCCGAGUAGUC
RNAcentral lists this ribosomal RNA (465 nucleotides) under uncultured bacterium. RNAcentral's name for it is "partial 16S ribosomal RNA". It matches the Rfam family "Bacterial small subunit ribosomal RNA", at positions 338 to 795 of the family's 1533-position model. The record is from RNAcentral.